AUUCUGGAUAUUGAAAAGGACUAUUCGUUUGCUGAUAAGGUGCAGAGGCGCCAUAUUGGUUUCUUUGAAGUAAGAGCUGUUUCUUGUGGUGUGCUUUCGAGUUGUCGACUGUGUUUACCAGUCGACCUGCCGAGGAUAAAUUUGUGAAGGAAAAGGCUACCCCACGUGGAAGGUGUUGGCAGCGAGAUUAACGUGUUUUGAAGACCGGAUAACGCAUCUAAGUAGGCUACGAUAAGUUACAUAUUUGUAGUGGAGACGAAGGUAAGAGAGUUCUCUAGUUAAAGAAGAAAUAAGAGACUACUAUUUACUGUAUUAUAGGAUUAAAUAAAGUCAUAGCUUGCCCCGGCUUUUCUCUCAACUUCGUGAGAGUUUUUAUGCCGAAGCAAGUGUUUCAUACCGCG
This 401-nucleotide long non-coding RNA is filed under the name Polistes fuscatus (common paper wasp). RNAcentral's name for it is "uncharacterized LOC122520249". Lineage: Eukaryota; Metazoa; Arthropoda; Insecta; Hymenoptera; Vespidae. The record is from RNAcentral.